CCUACGGAGGACAGCAGUGAGGAAUAUUGGUCAAUGGGCGUAAGCCUGAACCAGCUAAGUCGCGUGAGGGAUGAAGGUUCUAUGGAUCGUAAACCUCUUUUAUAAGGGAAUCAAGUGCGGGACGUGUCCCGUUUUGUAUGUACCUUAUGAAUAAGGAUCGGCUAACUCCGUGCCAGCAGCCGCGGUACUACGGAGGAUCCGCUCGUUAUCCGGAUUUAUUGGGUUUAAAAGGUGCGUAGGUGGCCUUUUAAGUCAGCGGUGAAAGUCUGUGGCUCAAACAUGGAAUUGCCGUUGAAAAUGGGAGGCUUGAGUAUGUUUGAGGCAGGCGGAAUGCGUGGUGUAGAGGUGAAAUGCUUAGAUAUCACGCAGAACCCCGAUUGCGAAGGCAGCCUGCCAAGCCAUGACUGACGCUGAUGCACGAAGGCGUGGGGAUCAAACAGGAUUAGAUACCCGGGUAGUC
This 460-nucleotide ribosomal RNA is filed under the name uncultured bacterium. RNAcentral describes it as "partial 16S ribosomal RNA". It matches the Rfam family "Bacterial small subunit ribosomal RNA", at positions 338 to 795 of the family's 1533-position model. The record is from RNAcentral.